UACGGGGGGGGCAAGCGUUGUUCGGAAUUAUUGGGCGUAAAGGGUUCGUAGGUGGCCGGCUAAGUCAGACGUGAAAUCCCUCAGCUUAACUGGGGAACUGCGUCUGAGACUGGUCGGCUUGAGUGCAGGAGAGGAACGCGGAAUUCCAGGUGUAGCGGUGAAAUGCGUAGAUAUCUGGAGGAACACCGGUGGCGAAGGCGGCGUUCUGGACUGUUACUGACACUGAGGAACGAAAGCCAGGGGAGCAAACGGG
RNAcentral lists this ribosomal RNA (253 nucleotides) under uncultured bacterium. RNAcentral describes it as "partial 16S ribosomal RNA". It matches the Rfam family "Bacterial small subunit ribosomal RNA", at positions 524 to 776 of the family's 1533-position model. The record is from RNAcentral.